RNAcentral lists this non-coding RNA (24 nucleotides) under Rattus norvegicus (Norway rat). The record is from RNAcentral. Lineage: Eukaryota; Metazoa; Chordata; Mammalia; Rodentia; Muridae.
GGUAAGGUAGACAGAUGCUCUGGA